UGGCUCAAACAGUACAGAAUCUGCCUGCAAUGCAGAAGACCCAGGUUCGAUCCCUGG
This 57-nucleotide transfer RNA is filed under the name Bos taurus (domestic cattle). It matches the Rfam family "tRNA", at positions 8 to 63 of the family's 71-position model. Rfam says of the family: Transfer RNA (tRNA) molecules are approximately 80 nucleotides in length. Their secondary structure includes four short double-helical elements and three loops (D, anti-codon, and T loops). RNAcentral also lists the same sequence under 4 other names. Lineage: Eukaryota; Metazoa; Chordata; Mammalia; Artiodactyla; Bovidae. The record is from Rfam by way of RNAcentral.